ACAGGCCCUAUGGGGCGCAGCAGGCGAGAAACCUUUGCAAUGUGCGAAAGCACGACAAGGUUAAUCCGAGUGUCUCCUGCUAAAGGAGUCUUUUGUCAGUUGUAGAAUCACUGGUGAAUAAGGGGUGGGCAAGUUCUGGUGUCAGCCGCCGCGGUAAAACCAGCACCUCGAGUGGUCAGGAGGUUUAUUGGGCCUAAAGCAUCCGUAGCCGGUUGCAUAAGUUUUCGGUUAAAUCUUGCGCUUAACGUAUAGGCCGCCGAAAAUACUGUGCAGCUAGGGAGUGGGAGAGGUACACGAUAGGAAGGGGUAAAAUCCUUUGAUCUAUUGAAGACCACCUGUGGCGAAGGCGGUGUACCAGAACACGUUCGACGGUGAGGGAUGAAAGCUGGGGGAGCAAACCGGAUUAGAUACCCGGGUAGUCCCAGCUGUAAACGAUGCAGACUCGGUGAUGCAUUGGCUUGUGGCCAAUGCAGUGCCGCAGGGAAGCCGUUAAGUCUGCCGCCUGGGAAGUACGUACGCAAGUAUGAAACUUAAAGGAAUUGGCGGGGGAGCACCACAAGGGAGAAGCCUGCGUUCAAUUGGAUUCACGC
RNAcentral lists this ribosomal RNA (590 nucleotides) under uncultured archaeon. RNAcentral describes it as "bacterial SSU rRNA". It matches the Rfam family "Archaeal small subunit ribosomal RNA", at positions 316 to 918 of the family's 1478-position model. The record is from RNAcentral.